Molecule: ribosomal RNA, 344 nt
Filed under: uncultured Sphingobacteriales bacterium
Lineage: Bacteria; Pseudomonadati; Bacteroidota; Sphingobacteriia; Sphingobacteriales
Description: bacterial SSU rRNA
Rfam family: Bacterial small subunit ribosomal RNA
Source: RNAcentral
GCUGCAUGGUUGUCGUCAGCUCGUGCCGUGAGGUGUCGGGUUAAGUCCCAUAACGAGCGCAACCCUUACUGUUAGUUGCCAGCGGGUAAAGCCGGGGACUCUAGCGGGACUGCCACCGUAAGGUGAGAGGAAGGUGGGGAUGACGUCAAAUCAGCACGGCCCUUAUGUCCAGGGCUACACACGUGUUACAAUGGCCGGUACAGAGGGCAGCUACAUCGCGAGAUGAUGCUAAUCCCGAAAGCCGGUCUCAGUUCGGAUCGAAGUCUGCAACCCGACUUCGUGAAGUUGGAUUCGCUAGUAAUCGCGCAUCAGCCAUGGCGCGGUCGAAUACGUUCCCGGGUCUU